GGGCGACCGGAUGCGGAUCUCGAAAGCCUGUCCCAGUUCGGACUGGAGUCUGCAACCCGACUCCACGAAGUUGGAUUCGCUAGUAAUCGCGCAUCAGCCAUGGCGCGGUGAAUACGUUCCCGGGCCUUGUACACACCGCCCGUCAAGCCAUGGGAGCCGGGGGCGCCUGAAGUCCGGGACCGCGAGGACCGGCCUAGGGCGAAACUGGUAACUGGGGCUAAGUCGUAACAAGGUAAC
Molecule: ribosomal RNA, 237 nt
Filed under: uncultured bacterium
Lineage: Bacteria
Description: partial 16S ribosomal RNA
Rfam family: Bacterial small subunit ribosomal RNA
Source: RNAcentral